AACGCGAAGAACCUUACCCAGGCUCGAAAUGUACUAGACGAUAUCAGAGAUGGUAUUUUCCGCAAGGACUGGUAUAUAGGUGCUGCAUGGCUGUCGUCAGCUCGUGCCGUGAGGUGUUUGGUUAAGUCCAGCAACGAGCGCAACCCUUAUCAUUAGUUGCCAACGUUUAAGACGGGGACUCUAGUGAGACUGCCUGGGUUAACCAGGAGGAAGGUGAGGAUGACGUCAAGUCCGCAUGGCCUUUAUGUCUGGGGCUACACACGUGCUACAAUGGUCGGUACAGAAGGCAGCAAGACCGCAAGGUGGAGCAAAUCCGUAAAGCCGAUCACAGUUCAGAUUGUAGUCUGCAACUCGACUACAUGAAGUUGGAAUUGCUAGUAAUGACGUGUCAGCAACAACGUCGUGAAUACGUUCCCGGGCCUUGUA
RNAcentral lists this ribosomal RNA (426 nucleotides) under uncultured Chlamydiae bacterium. RNAcentral describes it as "bacterial SSU rRNA". It matches the Rfam family "Bacterial small subunit ribosomal RNA", at positions 958 to 1385 of the family's 1533-position model. Lineage: Bacteria; Pseudomonadati; Chlamydiota; Chlamydiia. The record is from RNAcentral.